Dalotia coriaria is the source of this 307-nucleotide long non-coding RNA. RefSeq lists it as uncharacterized. Lineage: Eukaryota; Metazoa; Arthropoda; Insecta; Coleoptera; Staphylinidae. The transcript is spliced from 2 exons. The record is from RefSeq and is a predicted model, not a curated record.
AAAGAACCACAAGGAAGGUAAUACGUACAGAACUUAAAGCAAAGUUUAUAAAACAAAACAAGAAGUCAUGUUUUGUUUAAGUACAAUGAAGAAUAUUAACAUUGAUGUUCUUGCUUUGAUUGUAUACUUUAUGGAAACUAAAUGCUUCAGAUGGCAUGAAAUUUGAAUUGAUCAAUUUUUCUAUUCUACAUGCUGUAAACAAUUUUUGUAAAUAACUAUGUAUUGUAUUUAUUAUGUAAAUAUAUAUUUUAUAUUCUGUUAGAAAUUAAAAUGUUUAUAUCAAAAGAAAUUUACAUUUCACACUUUA